AGACCGGGUAGUAAGUUGGAUAUAUUUAUAUUUCGCGAUCUGGUAGGUAGGAAAAUAAAACAUUAUUUUUAUAGAUCGGAAAUCAAAUAUAUCAUUUAUAGGAAUAUUAUUUGUCCGAUUAUUACAUUCUUCACUUCAAUUUUGUGCUAAUCUAUAUAACUAGAAAACCGAAGUGGGUGAUUUAUAAAUAUUAGGUGUAAUAGUUUAAUUUAGGACUCGUCCCAUAUCAUGUUUUGAUAUUUUAUUAAAUAACUGCCAUUUUAGGGACACAAACAACGUGAUAUAUAUGACGAUCAAUCAAUCAAUAAUUUAAUAAAGCAUAUCAUUGUAUAUUAUAUCCGGUGUUCAAAAUAGCUUAUCGAUAACUCGUUUGUAAAAUUUAUAACGACUGAAUUUAGAAACCUAUGUUGGAGGAACCUAUAUGAUGAAUAUCCUGACCAAUUCAAUAUAUAUGUUGGUAGAGAAGAAUUAGUGU
Molecule: long non-coding RNA, 475 nt
Organism: Gordionus sp. m RMFG-2023
Lineage: Eukaryota; Metazoa; Nematomorpha; Gordioida; Chordodea; Parachordodidae
Exons: 3
Source: RefSeq, a predicted model, not a curated record